Molecule: transfer RNA, 61 nt
Filed under: Aegista aubryana
Lineage: Eukaryota; Metazoa; Mollusca; Gastropoda; Stylommatophora; Camaenidae
Description: tRNA-Thr
Source: RNAcentral
AUAAAUAUAGCUUAUAUUAAAGCAAUGGUUUUGUAAAUCAUAGAAGUAAUGACUAUUUGUA